RNAcentral lists this ribosomal RNA (497 nucleotides) under uncultured bacterium. RNAcentral's name for it is "partial 16S ribosomal RNA". It matches the Rfam family "Bacterial small subunit ribosomal RNA", at positions 28 to 507 of the family's 1533-position model. The record is from RNAcentral.
GAUGAACGCUGGCGGCGUGCCUAAUACAUGCAAGUCGAGCGAACAGGUGAGGAGCUUGCUCCUCUGACGUUAGCCGCGGACGGGUGAGUAACACGUGGAUAACCUACCUAUAAGACUGGGAUAACUUCGGGAAACCGGCGCUAAUCCCGGAUAAUCUAUUGAACCGCGUGGUUCAUUAGUGAAAGACGGUUUUGCUGUCACUUAUCGAUGGAUCCGCGCCGCAUUAGCUAGUUGGUAAGGUAACGGCUUACCAAGGCAACGAUGCGUAGCCGACCUGAGAGGCGGAUCGGCCACACGGGAAGGGAGACACGGUCCAGACUCCUACGGGAGGCAGCAGUAGGGAAUCUUCGGCAAUGGGCGAAAGCCUGACGGAGCAACGCCGCGUGAGUGAUGAAGGUCUCCGGAUCGUAAAACUCUGUUAUGAGGGAAGAACAAAUGUGUAAGUAACUAUGCACGUCGUGACGGUACCUAAUCAGAAAGCCACGGCUAACUACGUG